RNAcentral lists this ribosomal RNA (686 nucleotides) under uncultured equine intestinal eubacterium sp. DL10. RNAcentral's name for it is "bacterial SSU rRNA". It matches the Rfam family "Bacterial small subunit ribosomal RNA", at positions 797 to 1482 of the family's 1533-position model. The record is from RNAcentral.
CGGCAGUAAACGGUGCACGCUUGGUGUGCGGGGAAUCGACCCCCUGCGUGCCGGAGCCAACGCGUUAAGCGUGCCGCCUGGGGAGUACGGUCGCAAGAUUAAAACUCAAAGAAAUUGACGGGGACCCGCACAAGCGGUGGAGUAUGUGGCUUAAUUCGAUGCAACGCGAAGAACCUUACCAAGGCUUGACAUCCCGUGACCGCCUGUGAAAGCAGGUUUUUUCUUCGGAAACACGGAGACAGGUGCUGCAUGGCCGUCGUCAGCUCGUGUCGUGAGAUGUUUGGUUAAGUCCAGCAACGAGCGCAACCCCUGCUGCCAGUUACCAUCAUUAGGUUGGAGACUCUGGCGGGACUGCCCAGAUCAACUGGGAGGAAGGUGGGGACGACGUCAGGUCAGUAUGGCCCUUACGCCUUGGGCUGUACACGUACUACAAUGCCCAGUACAGAGGGAGGCGAGCGUGCGAGCGCGAGCGGAUCCCGAAAAGUGGGCCCAGUUCGGAUUGGAGGCUGCAACCCGCCUCCAUGAAGCCGGAAUCGCUAGUAAUGGCGCAUCAGCUACGGCGCCGUGAAUACGUUCCCGGGUCUUGUACACACCGCCCGUCACAUCAUGGAAGCCGGUCGCACCCGAAGUGUCAGGAGCCAACCGCAAGGAGGCAUGGCCCUAAGGCGAGACUGGUAACUGGGAUG